AACGGGUGAGUAACGCGUGAGGAACCUGCCUCAAAGAGGGGGACAACAGUUGGAAACGACUGCUAAUACCGCAUAAGCCCACGGGUCGGCAUCGACCAGAGGGAAAAGGAGCAAUCCGCUUUGAGAUGGUCUCGCGUCCGAUUAGCUAGUUGGUGAGGUAAUGGCCCACCAAGGCGACGAUCGGUAGCCGGACUGAGAGGUUGAACGGCCACAUUGGGACUGAGACACGGCCCAGACUCCUACGGGAGGCAGCAUG
RNAcentral lists this ribosomal RNA (256 nucleotides) under uncultured bacterium. Its description in RNAcentral is "partial 16S ribosomal RNA". It matches the Rfam family "Bacterial small subunit ribosomal RNA", at positions 101 to 353 of the family's 1533-position model. The record is from RNAcentral.